GAAAUGCGAUAAGUAAUGUGAAUUGCAGAAUUCAGUGAAUCAUCGAAUCUUUGAACGCACCUUGCGCUCCUUGGUAUUCCUUGGAGCAUGCCUGUUUGAGUAUCAUGAAAUCUUCAAAGUAAAUCUUUUGUUAACUCAAUUGGUUUCUACUUUGGUAUUGGAGGUCUUUGCAGCUUCACACCUGCUCCUCUUUGUUCAUUAGCUGGAUCUCAGUGUUAUGCUUGGUUCCACUCGGCGUGAUAAGUUAUCUAUCGCUGAGGACACUGUAAAAGGUGGCCAAGGUAAAUGCAGAUGAACCGCUUCUAAUAGUCCAUUGACUUGGACAAUACUUUUAUGAUCUGAUCUCAAAUCAGGUAGGACUACCAGCUGAACUUAAGC
This 378-nucleotide unclassified non-coding RNA is filed under the name plant metagenome. Its description in RNAcentral is "partial contains 5.8S ribosomal RNA, internal transcribed spacer 2, and large subunit ribosomal RNA". The stretch from base 1 to 105 matches the Rfam family "5.8S ribosomal RNA", at positions 50 to 154 of the family's 154-position model. The record is from RNAcentral.